CCCAGACAGCCAGGAUGUUGGCUUAGAAGCAGCCAUCAUUUAAAGAAAGCGUAAUAGCUCACUGGUCGAGUCGGCCUGCGCGGAAGAUGUAACGGGGCUAAACCAUGCACCGAAGCUGCGGCAGCGACACUGUGUGUUGUUGGGUAGGGGAGCGUUCUGUAAGCCUGCGAAGGUGGCCUGUGAGGGUUGCUGGAGGUAUCAGAAGUGCGAAUGCUGACAUAAGUAACGAUAAAGCGGGUGAAAAGCCCGCUCGCCGGAAGACCAAGGGUUCCUGUCCAACGUUAAUCGGGGCAGGGUGAGUCGACCCCUAAGGCGAGGCCGAAAGGCGUAGUCGAUGGGAAACGGGUUAAUAUUCCCGUACUUGGUGUUACUGCGAAGGGGGGACGGAGAAGGCUAUGUUGGCCGGGCGACGGUUGUCCCGGUUUAAGCGUGUAGGUGUGUGUUCCAGGUAAAUCCGGUUCACUUUAACACUGAGGCGUGAUGACGAGGCACUACGGUGCUGAAGCAACAAAUGCCCUGCUUCCAGGAAAAGCCUCUAAGCAUCAGGUAACAUCAAAUCGUACCCCAAACCGACACAGGUGGUCAGGUAGAGAAUAC
Molecule: ribosomal RNA, 597 nt
Filed under: Salmonella enterica subsp. enterica serovar Anatum
Lineage: Bacteria; Pseudomonadati; Pseudomonadota; Gammaproteobacteria; Enterobacterales; Enterobacteriaceae
Description: partial 23S ribosomal RNA
Rfam family: Bacterial large subunit ribosomal RNA
Source: RNAcentral